RNAcentral lists this small RNA (145 nucleotides) under Arabidopsis thaliana (thale cress). RNAcentral's name for it is "ATSL063370". The record is from RNAcentral. Lineage: Eukaryota; Viridiplantae; Streptophyta; Magnoliopsida; Brassicales; Brassicaceae.
ACGAUGACAUGAUCAAAAGGUCUAUAGAUCCUGAUAUUUUCACUUACAAUUCAUUGAUCAACGGGUUCUGUAUGCAUGAUCGUCUAGACAAGGCCAAGCAGAUGUUUGAGUUCAUGGUUAGCAAGGACUGUUUCCCAGAUUUAGA